Molecule: long non-coding RNA, 449 nt
Organism: Ctenocephalides felis (cat flea)
Lineage: Eukaryota; Metazoa; Arthropoda; Insecta; Siphonaptera; Pulicidae
Exons: 3
Source: RefSeq, a predicted model, not a curated record
AGAAGUGAGUGCUAUAUAAAUAAUGUAGUUAGUUGUGCAAGAAAUAUUUUGUGAUGCAAGAAAAAUGGAGCACCCUUAGAAGUCACGAGCGGCGGAUCGGAUAGUAAUUGAAAGGUUCAGACCAAUGUUUUUAUUCGUAUUGGAAAGCAAAAUGAAGCUGCUUUGGAAAUAAUUUUGCAAUUGAAAUCAGUCGGAGCCCCUGACAAAUCUAGUGUUCAUUGGUUGAAGUUAAUAAUCUGAGGAAACUCAUUCAUUAACACAAUAACUAGGUUUGAGUGUCAUAUUGCUUUAAGACAGUUUACAAUGUUUUUAUAUUUCUUCAAAUGCUUUCAUCUGACAUCAUCACUGUCAUUUUAAGACUGUAGAAGUGAUUUUGAUUGGUGGCCAUCAAAUGAAAAAGCGACAUGUCUCAUUAAAUAUCGAGCAUUUAGUAAAUAUUCCAAAGAUGU